RNAcentral lists this ribosomal RNA (611 nucleotides) under Agrobacterium fabrum. Its description in RNAcentral is "bacterial SSU rRNA". It matches the Rfam family "Bacterial small subunit ribosomal RNA", at positions 88 to 732 of the family's 1533-position model. Lineage: Bacteria; Pseudomonadati; Pseudomonadota; Alphaproteobacteria; Hyphomicrobiales; Rhizobiaceae. The record is from RNAcentral.
AAGGGGAGUGGCAGACGGGUGAGUAACGCGUGGGAACAUACCCUUUCCUGCGGAAUAGCUCUGGGAAACUGGAAUUAAUACCGCAUACGCCCUACGGGGGAAAGAUUUAUCGGGGAAGGAUUGGCCCGCGUUGGAUUAGCUAGUUGGUGGGGUAAAGGCCUACCAAGGCGACGAUCCAUAGCUGGUCUGAGAGGAUGAUCAGCCACAUUGGGACUGAGACACGGCCCAAACUCCUACGGGAGGCAGCAGUGGGGAAUAUUGGACAAUGGGCGCAAGCCUGAUCCAGCCAUGCCGCGUGAGUGAUGAAGGCCUUAGGGUUGUAAAGCUCUUUCACCGAUGAAGAUAAUGACGGUAGUCGGAGAAGAAGCCCCGGCUAACUUCGUGCCAGCAGCCGCGGUAAUACGAAGGGGGCUAGCGUUGUUCGGAAUUACUGGGCGUAAAGCGCACGUAGGCGGAUAUUUAAGUCAGGGGUGAAAUCCCGCAGCUCAACUGCGGAACUGCCUUUGAUACUGGGUAUCUUGAGUAUGGAAGAGGUAAGUGGAAUUCCGAGUGUAGAGGUGAAAUUCGUAGAUAUUCGGAGGAACACCAGUGGCGAAGGCGGGCUUUACUGG